GUGUUAGCAAUACACAUGGGUGGCGAGUGGCGGACGGGUGAGGAAUACAUAGGAAUCUGCCCUGUAGCGGGGGAUAGUCCGGGGAAACUCGGGGUAAUACCGCAUACGACCUACGGGUGAAAGAGGGGGUCGAAAGACCUCUCACUAUAGGAUGAGCCUAUGUCCGAUUAGCUAGUUGGUGGGGUAAAGGCCUACCAAGGCGACGAUCGGUAGCUGGUCUGAGAGGACGACCAGCCACACCGGAACUGAGACACGGUCCGGACUCCUACGGGAGGUAGCAGUGGGGAAUAUUGGACAAUGGGGGAAACCCUGAUCCAGCAAUGCCGCGUGUGUGAAGAAGGCCUUCGGGUUGUAAAGCACUUUAGGCUGGGAAGAAAAAGCGUUACCUAAUACGUAACGCCUUGACGGUACCGGCGGAAUAAGCACCGGCUAACUCUGUGCCAGCAGCCGCGGUAAUACAGAGGGUGCAAGCGUUAAUCGGAUUUACUGGGCGUAAAGCGUGCGUAGGCGGUUCAGUAUGUCGGUCGUGAAAUCCCCGGGCUUAACCUGGGAACUGCGGCCGAAACUGCUGGGCUCGAGUGUGGUAGAGGGCGGUGGAAUUCCGGGUGUAGCGGUGAAAUGCGUAGAGAUCCGGAGGAACAUCAAUGGCGAAGGCAGCUGCCUGGGCCACAACUGACGCUGAGGUACGAAAGCGUGGGGAGCAAACAGGAUUAGAUACCCUGGUAGUCCACGCUGUAAACGAUGAGAACUAGACGUUGGCCAGCUUGGUCUGGUCGGUGUCGUAGCUAACGCGCUAAGUUCUCCGCCUGGGGAGUACGGCCGCGAGGUUGAAACUCAAAGGAAUUGACGGGGGCCCGCACAAGCGGUGGAGUAUGUGGUUUAAU
This 884-nucleotide ribosomal RNA is filed under the name uncultured Gammaproteobacteria bacterium. Its description in RNAcentral is "bacterial SSU rRNA". It matches the Rfam family "Bacterial small subunit ribosomal RNA", at positions 68 to 950 of the family's 1533-position model. Lineage: Bacteria; Pseudomonadati; Pseudomonadota; Gammaproteobacteria. The record is from RNAcentral.